Bradysia coprophila is the source of this 580-nucleotide long non-coding RNA. NCBI's taxonomy places the organism in Eukaryota, Metazoa, Arthropoda, Insecta, Diptera, Sciaridae. The record is from RefSeq and is a predicted model, not a curated record.
AACAUCUACAAUCAUUUCCGUCGAUAUAAACAGUCAGUUUUGUUGCAGCUAGUUACUGCACCAUCAAUUUAUAGUUUUAUUAAAUUGGACACUCUUGUUGCUUUCUGGAGAGGAUAGGGUCUUAAAGGAUGAACUGCUUCAGAGGGAGUGUUUUAACUUUCGCUGUGUUAAGUAUUUUGUGUAAAGAAUGUGUGUCGUCUGCAACAAUAGAAGCGACUGAAAUCGAUUCAACUAGAGCGACAGUAACAUUCGAAAGAUCAUGUACUAGUGACUACGAUUGUAGAUACUCAUCAAAUGCGAAGGUCCGAGAUCAAAUUCAAAUAGCAUGCAAACAAGGAAAAUGUCAGUGUGAAAAACCAUUGCGCUUAAUUCAGGAUGCACCAGACUAUCCAGUACGUGUUUCGAAUGGCAACUGUAUGACCAAUUUCGAUGCACCUUGUGGAACCACAGAAGGCAUAACAAUUGUGUGUGAGGGUGAACAGACUUGCAUUGAAGGAAGAUGUCGAUCAGAAAUUCGAUCGCGAAUGAGGGACGAUUUUUGUAAUGAAGACAUUGACUGUCAAGAAGGACUCAAGUGUAU